Molecule: ribosomal RNA, 235 nt
Filed under: uncultured Actinomycetales bacterium
Lineage: Bacteria; Bacillati; Actinomycetota; Actinomycetes; Actinomycetales
Description: partial 16S ribosomal RNA
Rfam family: Bacterial small subunit ribosomal RNA
Source: RNAcentral
UGGCGAACGGGUGAGUAACACGUGGGUGAUCUGCCCUGCACUUUGGGAUAAGCCUGGGAAACUGGGUCUAAUACCGGAUAGGAGCCAUUUUUAGUGUGAUGGUUGGAAAGUUUUUUCGGUGUAGGAUGAGCUCGCGGCCUAUCAGCUUGUUGGUGGGGUAAUGGCCUACCAAGGCGGCGACGGGUAGCCGGCCUGAGAGGGUGGACGGCCACAUUGGGACUGAGAUACGGCCCAG